Molecule: long non-coding RNA, 690 nt
Filed under: Homo sapiens (human)
Lineage: Eukaryota; Metazoa; Chordata; Mammalia; Primates; Hominidae
Description: non-protein coding lnc-SOX30-4:1
Source: RNAcentral
GGGCAGUGGGCAGGUAUGGCUGAGGGCGUGUGAGCGCCGAGCGCUAAGGGCCGCCGCCACCAUGCCAGGGGGCGCAGGCGCCGCCCGGCUCUGCUUGCUGGCGUUUGCCCUGCAGCCCCUCCGGCCGCGGGCGGCGCGGGAGCCUGGAUGGACAAGAGGAAGUGAGGAAGGCAGCCCCAAGCUGCAGCAUGAACUUAUCAUACCUCAGUGGAAGACUUCAGAAAGCCCCGUGAGAGAAAAGGUAAGACUCAAAAGACCUCAUUUACACUGGCAGGAGUUGACAACUGAGGUUUGGGCUACCUACUCAACUUUCUUAGAAUCCCAGUCAUCACCAUUAGUUCUGUUUCUGGCCCACUCUGUCCUCUGGGUGCCCAUUUUGGAGAUCACAGAUGGGACUUUCCUUCCUUGUAUGACAAACUUCUAGAACACUUCCCAAUGCUAUUAGUUGAGGAAAUGAAAAUUCACAUUAAUGCUGACACAAGCUAAGUGCAGAUGUGUUGGUGUCACAGAAAUCACUUAGUCUUGAUUGGAAUUCAUUAAAUAUUGUCAUUGUUAUUUUUGCUCUGCAUAAUACAUACUUCAUUUUCUUGAAGGAAUAAUGUACUUGGAGAGAAAAAAGAUAAUAAUAUAAACUAUAAACUAUUUUAAUAAGACGCAGCGUAGAGACCUAGUACUGGGGAAUGUAUCUUA